Molecule: ribosomal RNA, 715 nt
Filed under: Cryptosporidium ryanae
Lineage: Eukaryota; Apicomplexa; Conoidasida; Eucoccidiorida; Cryptosporidiidae
Description: SSU rRNA
Rfam family: Eukaryotic small subunit ribosomal RNA
Source: RNAcentral
CUUUACGGAUCACACUAUGUGACAUAUCAUUCAAGUUUCUGACCUAUCAGCUUUAGACGGUAGGGUAUUGGCCUACCGUGGCUAUGACGGGUAACGGGGAAUUAGGGUUCGAUUCCGGAGAGGGAGCCUGAGAAACGGCUACCACAUCUAAGGAAGGCAGCAGGCGCGCAAAUUACCCAAUCCUAAUACAGGGAGGUAGUGACAAGAAAUAACAAUACAGAGCCUUACGGUUUUGUAAUUGGAAUGAGUUAAGUAUAAACCCCUUAACAAGUAUCAAUUGGAGGGCAAGUCUGGUGCCAGCAGCCGCGGUAAUUCCAGCUCCAAUAGCGUAUAUUAAAGUUGUUGCAGUUAAAAAGCUCGUAGUUAAUUUUCUGUUAAUUUUUAUAUACAAUGCUACGGUAUUUAUAUAAUAUUAACAUAAUUCAUAUUACUUUUUAAGUAUAUGAAACUUUACUUUGAGAAAAUUAGAGUGCUUAAAGCAGGCUAUUGCCUUGAAUACUCCAGCAUGGAAUAAUAUUAAGGAUUUUUAUUCUUCUUAUUGGUUCUAGAAUAAAAAUAAUGAUUAAUAGGGACAGUUGGGGGCAUUUGUAUUUAACAGUCAGAGGUGAAAUUCUUAGAUUUGUUAAAGACAAACUACUGCGAAAGCAUUUGCCAAGGAUGUUUUCAUUAAUCAAGAACGAAAGUUAGGGGAUCGAAGACGAUCAGAUACCGUCGU